This 263-nucleotide unclassified non-coding RNA is filed under the name Plectosphaerella alismatis. RNAcentral describes it as "partial contains 5.8S ribosomal RNA, internal transcribed spacer 2, and large subunit ribosomal RNA". The record is from RNAcentral. Lineage: Eukaryota; Fungi; Ascomycota; Sordariomycetes; Glomerellales; Plectosphaerellaceae.
CGCACAUGGCGCCUUCCAGUAUCCUGGGAGGCAUGCCUGUCCGAGCGUCGUUUCAACCCUCGAGCCCCCGUGGCCCGGCGUUGGGGAUCUGCCACGGCAGGCCCCUAAAACCAGUGGCGGACCCGAAGGGCCCUCUCCUUUGCGCAGUAGCAUCAGCCUCGCAUCGGGAGCCCUCGGCGUCCUGCCUCCAAACCCCCCCCGCAAGCCCGCCCAGCGGCACCAAGGUUGACCUCGGAUCAGGUAGGAAUACCCGCUGAACUUAA